UACAGGGGGUGCAAACGUUGCUCGGAAUUAUUGGGCGUAAAGCGCGCGUAGGCGGCCACUUAAGUCGAAUGUGAAAGCCCCCGGCUCAACUGGGGAGGGUCAUUCGAUACUGUUCGACUCGAAGGCAGGAGAGGGAAGUGGAAUUCCGGGUGUAGUGGUGAAAUGCGUAGAUAUCCGGAGGAACACCAGUGGCGAAGGCGACUUCCUGGCCUGUUCUUGACGCUGAGGCGCGAAAGCUAGGGUAGCAAACGGG
This 253-nucleotide ribosomal RNA is filed under the name uncultured bacterium. RNAcentral's name for it is "partial 16S ribosomal RNA". It matches the Rfam family "Bacterial small subunit ribosomal RNA", at positions 524 to 776 of the family's 1533-position model. The record is from RNAcentral.